RNAcentral lists this ribosomal RNA (318 nucleotides) under uncultured Limnofilidae. RNAcentral's name for it is "SSU rRNA". The stretch from base 96 to 318 matches the Rfam family "Eukaryotic small subunit ribosomal RNA", at positions 731 to 955 of the family's 1831-position model. Lineage: Eukaryota; Cercozoa; Limnofilidae. The record is from RNAcentral.
GAUUUCUGGUUUGGUGCGCGCGGUCCGCUGCGGUUUCGUAGCGUGUGCUGUUGUGCGCCUGCCAUCGUUUGAGGCAGAGGCGUGCUCUUAACUGGGUGCGUCUUUAUCUCAAUCUUUUACUUUGAAAAAAUUAGAGUGUUCAAAGCAGGCUUGCGCUAUGAAUACAUUAGCAUGGAAUAAUAAUAUAGGACUUCUGUUCUAUUUUGUUGGUUUCUAGGAUGGAAGUAAUGAUUGAUAGGGACAGUUGGGGGUGCUAGUAUUCAGAGGCCAGAGGUGAAAUUCUUGGAUUCUCUGAAGACUAACUUAUGCGAAAGCAUU